UAAAUCACUGUUACUAUUUUUUAUUAACCAAACAGUCGGAUCGUUGGCGCUAAUCAUUAAUCCCAAAAAUUCAAAUUGGUAGAAAUAUAUAACCAAUUCAAAAAAACUCAAGCUGGUAGAAAUAUAUAACCAAUUCAUUUAAAAAGUAUAGACAUAUUACCCACGAGUCUCGAUUGUGAUUAGAUUCAACCAGUCUCAUGCGACUUCGAACAUGACUUGAUCGAAUCUAGCCUCACGACAUUUCGAACGUGAGUUUAAAAAUUCUUUGAGUUUUUAGUAUUAAAAAAAAUUUGAUAAGAUAAGGGCAUAAUAUGGCCUUUGGAUAUGU
RNAcentral lists this long non-coding RNA (328 nucleotides) under Ananas comosus (pineapple). Its description in RNAcentral is "long non-coding RNA (ACOM_LNC017038)". Lineage: Eukaryota; Viridiplantae; Streptophyta; Magnoliopsida; Poales; Bromeliaceae. The record is from RNAcentral.